This 400-nucleotide ribosomal RNA is filed under the name uncultured bacterium. Its description in RNAcentral is "bacterial SSU rRNA". It matches the Rfam family "Bacterial small subunit ribosomal RNA", at positions 356 to 773 of the family's 1533-position model. The record is from RNAcentral.
GGGGAAUCUUAGACAAUGGGGGAAACCCUGAUCUAGCCAUGCCGCGUGAGUGAUGAAGGCCUUAGGGUUGUAAAGCUCUUUCAGCUGGGAAGAUAAUGACGGUACCAGCAGAAGAAGCCCCGGCUAACUCCGUGCCAGCAGCCGCGGUAAUACGGAGGGGGCUAGCGUUGUUCGGAAUUACUGGGCGUAAAGCGCACGUAGGCGGACCAGCAAGUUAGGGGUGAAAUCCCGGGGCUCAACCCCGGAACUGCCCUUAAAACUGUUGGUCUUGAGUUCGAGAGAGGUGAGUGGAAUUCCGAGUGUAGAGGUGAAAUUCGUAGAUAUUCGGAGGAACACCAGUGGCAAAGGCGGCUCACUGGCUCGAUACUGACGCUGAGGUGCGAAAGCGUGGGGAGCAAAC